GCCAUGCCGCGUGCAGUGAUGACGGUCCUAUGGAUUGUAAACUGCUUUUGUACGAAAAAAAACACUCCUAUGUAUAGGAGCUUGACGGUCUCGUAAGAAUAAGGAUCGGCUAACUCCGUGCCAGCAGCCGCGGUAAUACGGAGGAUCCGAGCGUUAUCCGGAAUCAUUGGGUUUAAAGGGUCCGGAGGCGGUUUAGUAAGUCAGUGGUGAAAGCCCAUCGCUCAACGGUGGAACGGCCAUUGAUACUGCUGAACUUGAAUUACUGGGAAGUAACUAAAAUAUGUAGAGUAGCGGUGAAAUGCUUAGAUAUUACAUGGAAUACCAAUUGCGAAGGCAGGUUACUACCAGUUGAUUGACGCUGAUGGACGAAAGCGUGGGGAGCGAACAGGAUUACAUACCCUGGUAGUCCACGCCGUAAACGAUGGAUACUAGCUGUUGGGAGCAAUUUCAGUGGCUAAGCGAAAGUGAUAAGUAUCCCACCUGGGGAGUACGUUCGCAAGAAUGAAACUCACAGGAAUUGACGGGGGCCCGCACAAGCGGUGGAGCAUGUGGUUUAAUUCGAUGAUACGCGAGGAACCUUACCAAGGCUUAAAUGUAAGAUUGACCGUUUUGGAAACAGA
RNAcentral lists this ribosomal RNA (620 nucleotides) under Flavobacterium sp. Ri3Pw_6313. RNAcentral describes it as "bacterial SSU rRNA". It matches the Rfam family "Bacterial small subunit ribosomal RNA", at positions 391 to 1010 of the family's 1533-position model. Lineage: Bacteria; Pseudomonadati; Bacteroidota; Flavobacteriia; Flavobacteriales; Flavobacteriaceae. The record is from RNAcentral.